AGCAGCCGCGGUAAUUCCAGCUCCAAUAGCGUAUAUUAAAGUUGUUGCAGUUAAAAAGCUCGUAGUUGAAUUUUGGAUUCUGCCAGUUGGUCCAUCUUUUGAUGAGUACUGAUUGUGUGGGGUCUAUCCGCCUGGUGAUACGUAAUGUACUUUAUUGUAUGUUGCGGGUAGUCAGGACCUUUACCUUGGAAAAUUAGAGUGUUUAAAGCAGGCUUAUGCCGGAAUACAUUAGCAUGGAAUAAUAGAAUAGGACGAUGUUGUUUUAUUUUGUUGGUUUCUAGGACAACCGUAAUGAUUAAUAGGGAUAGUUGGGGGCAUUAGUAUUCAAUUGUCAGAGGUGAAAUUCUUGGAUUUAUUGAAGACUAACUACUGCGAAAGCAUUUGCCAAGGAUGUUUUCAUUAAUCUAAGAACGAAAGUUAGGGGAAUCGAAGACGAUCAGAUACCGUCGUAGUCUUAACCAUAAACUAUGCCGACUAGGGAUCGGGCGAUGUUGUUUCCAUGACUCGCUCGGCACCUU
Molecule: ribosomal RNA, 518 nt
Filed under: uncultured Glomeromycotina
Lineage: Eukaryota; Fungi; Glomeromycota
Description: SSU rRNA
Rfam family: Eukaryotic small subunit ribosomal RNA
Source: RNAcentral